GCGGGUGUGGCGGAAUUGGCAGACGCACCAGACUUAGGAUCUGGCGCCUUACGGCGUGGGGGUUCAAGUCCCUUCACCCGCACCA
RNAcentral lists this transfer RNA (85 nucleotides) under Bacillus sp. D12. Its description in RNAcentral is "tRNA-Leu". It matches the Rfam family "tRNA". Rfam says of the family: Transfer RNA (tRNA) molecules are approximately 80 nucleotides in length. Their secondary structure includes four short double-helical elements and three loops (D, anti-codon, and T loops). Further hydrogen bonds mediate the characteristic L-shaped molecular structure. tRNAs have two regions of fundamental functional importance: the anti-codon, which is responsible for specific mRNA codon recognition, and the 3' end, to which the tRNAs corresponding amino acid is attached (by aminoacyl-tRNA synthetases). tRNAs cope with the degeneracy of the genetic code in two manners: having more than one tRNA (with a specific anti-codon) for a particular amino acid; and 'wobble' base-pairing, i.e. permitting non-standard base-pairing at the 3rd anti-codon position. RNAcentral also lists the same sequence under 10 other names. Lineage: Bacteria; Bacillati; Bacillota; Bacilli; Caryophanales; Bacillaceae. The record is from RNAcentral.